AACCCUGAUGCAGCUAUACCGUGUGUGUGAAGAAGGCCUUAGGGUUGUAAAGCACUUUCAAUGGGGAAGAAUUUAAUAUUGCUAAUAUCGAUAUUAAUUGACGUUACCUAUAUAAGAAGCGCCGGCUAACUCCGUGCCAGCAGCCGCGGUAAUACGGAGGGUGCAAGCGUUAAUCGGAAUUACUGGGCGUAAAGAGUACGUAGGUGGUUUGUUAAGUCAGAUGUGAAAUCCCUGAGCUUAACUUAGGAACUGCAUUUGAAACUAAUAAACUAGAGUUUCGUAGAGGGGGGUAGAAUUCCAGGUGUAGCGGUGAAAUGCGUAGAGAUCUGGAGGAAUACCAGUGGCGAAGGCGACCCCCUGUACUGAAACUGACACUCAGGUACGGAAGCAUGGGGAGCAAACAGGAUUAGAUACCCUGGUAGUCCAUGCCGUAAACGAUGUCGAUUUAAA
Molecule: ribosomal RNA, 450 nt
Filed under: Blochmannia endosymbiont of Camponotus textor
Lineage: Bacteria; Pseudomonadati; Pseudomonadota; Gammaproteobacteria; Enterobacterales; Enterobacteriaceae
Description: bacterial SSU rRNA
Rfam family: Bacterial small subunit ribosomal RNA
Source: RNAcentral